GACGAACGCUGGCGGCGUGCUUAACACAUGCAAGUCGAACGGUGAAGCGCCUUCCUUUUUGGUUGGUGUGGAUGAGUGGCGAACGGGUGAGUAACACGUGAGUAACCUGCCCCCUUCUUCUGGAUAACCGCAUGAAAGUGUGGCUAAUACGGGAUAUUCUGGGUCUGUCGCAUGAUGGGUCUGGGAAAGAUAUUGUUUCGGUGGGGGAUGGGCUCGCGGCCUAUCAGCUUGUUGGUGGGGUGAUGGCCUACCAAGGCGGUGACGGGUAGCCGGCCUGAGAGGGUGGACGGUCACACUGGGACUGAGACACGGCCCAGACUCCUACGGGAGGCAGCAGUGGGGAAUAUUGCACAAUGGGCGCAAGCCUGAUGCAGCGACGCCGCGUGAGGGAUGGAGGCCUUCGGGUUGUGAACCUCUUUCGCCAGUGAAGCAGGCCUGCCUCGUUUGUGGGUGGGUUGACGGUAGCUGGAUAAGAAGCGCCGGCUAACUACGUG
RNAcentral lists this ribosomal RNA (494 nucleotides) under uncultured bacterium. RNAcentral's name for it is "partial 16S ribosomal RNA". It matches the Rfam family "Bacterial small subunit ribosomal RNA", at positions 28 to 507 of the family's 1533-position model. The record is from RNAcentral.